Molecule: unclassified non-coding RNA, 11657 nt
Filed under: Acanthaster planci (crown-of-thorns starfish)
Lineage: Eukaryota; Metazoa; Echinodermata; Asteroidea; Valvatida; Acanthasteridae
Description: zinc finger protein castor homolog 1-like, transcript variant X6
Source: RNAcentral
GUCAAACAGCUGAAAAUCAUCAUUGUUAUUUUCCACAGCGCAAGAGCAAGAGCUCCCGAAACAACAUGCAUGCAUGCGAUGCGAGCAGACGAGAUCGAUCGUGUUGGCCUACGCACUAACCUGACGGCGUAAUUGGAGCUGAAGUAAGUUUACUAGUACUACGAAUGCGAAAAUUUGGUCACUGAUAAAUAUUGAUAUCAAAGCAUUAGCAAUGAUUGCCACAGGAGGACCAGGCAUUGGAACUAUGCACUAAAACAUGAGGCAGAAGUCAACCACCUGGGACAUUGAUGCUGCACCCUUCCGACGAAAUCACCAUGAAGAAGUUAACGUUGAAACUGGAUGCGAUUUGCGCAAAGCUGAAGGAGGGACUUGCCGGACCUCUGGCGGAUGGCGCACCCAUCAACGGUGUGUCACUAGAGUGCCGGGGUGUCCCCGUCACGGAACAUUACUCAUCUUCUUCUCCCAGGAAGGAGAUCUUGAACGGGUCUGAGAGUGGCGUCUCGCCCUGUCUAAGCGCCAAUGAGCUGGACAGCGAAUCUGUGAACAGUCAGGAUGAAGGGAACGAGGAAAAUGGGUUCCUGGACACAGACACACCCAUGAAGACAGGCCUGCUCAAUGGCCAUGUGGACACAACCAAGGUACUCAGUGGUGCAAGCAAGCGUAAGGCCAGGCUAAAACUGGCUCCCCGCCGUUUCUUGGACUCGACAGAUUCUCACCUGCCGCAUGAGAACGGCUACUCAGACUCACCACUGGUGGACAGAACAUAUCCGAGAGGUGCGGGGUCUUCAAAGACAAUCAAUGGAGGAUGCAGCAACAAAUCUCAGGGAAGUAACACAAGCGAUUCAACCUCUAUGCAAAUUUCUUUGUCUCGUCGGGACCUGGACCUGGACUAUCAAGGCAAUAAUUAUUUUCACAGAUCAGCAGCCGACGGCACCCUCAGUGACCCAUCAAGCCCAGGCGGUGAACAAGGGCAGGAUGCCACACCGCUUUGGUACGCAGACGAUUCUCCAAGCGAGAACAGUGAUUACUUGGACAUCUACCCAGAGGAAGACGGGGACGAUGAGGACAGUUUGGGGGAGCUAGACACAGCUCCUAACCCAGCAAACUUGAGCAAUCUGAAAGCAAUACAGGAGUAUGCCGAGCGGAGCUUGACGGAGGACCAAACGGGUCAGCCGAUUGAGGAGGGCCUGGCUACAAACGACGUCAUCUGUGAACUUGCCGAGGAAGGGGGAGCAGAGGAGGCAGAACCCUCGUCAGUGAUGCAGGAGGAGAUGGAAAGGCCCUCCCUAGACACAAUGAGCAAAAACACCAAUGACAAUGACGAGGACAAAGAUGAUGAAGAUUACGCUGUCCCAACAGACUCUAGGCCCAUCCCCUUGAAGAUACCUGUCAUUGGCAAAAGGGACAAGCAUGGAAAUCCGUACGACCCAUCAGCCGUGCAGGAGUACGCCAGUGACACCAUGAAUGAACUCAUAGGAAUGUACGGGUUUGAGGAGGGGUCCAAUCCAGACAUUGCAAAGGAUGUGCCAUUAGAUUCUUUCAGCUUUAAAAAUAUACAGAAAAUGGAAGAGAAGAAUGCGAGUGAACGUAAAAAAGAUGCCCUCCAGAAGUACAUCCAUCGACACGCCAACCUCCAUGUCCCAGAUCUGACCCGGUUUCAUGGAGCACGCUCCAGCACCUCUCCAGAAGACACUGGUUCCCAAUUGCCUCUGAGUACCUGUGACAGUAGCGACAUCCCCAACCAGGGCAGUCUGCUCGGGAGUGAUGCCACGCCACAGUUGGCCUCGCAAGCUGGCGUCGGAGGCAAAGUGGCCUCGUUACCGCAGGCUAGCGAGCCUCAGUCUAAGAUGAGACUUGCCCCACCGUUGGGGAAGACAACAAAGACCGUGAAGGACCUCAUCAAUGAGCAGAAAGGGAGAGAAGAAGGGGCAGAGUUAGAGGAGGGGGAUGAAGAUUUCCGACCGCGACGGUUCUCCAAGUACGACUUCUUCAUUCAGAGCUUAGAAGCAGGUCAAGCGAUCGACUAUUCGGCCCAUCGCAUCUCCAAAUAUGACAGCUACAUCCGCAAGUUGAAAGCAGGUGAGGCCAUACACAAAGUCAUAGGUCGAAGGCAGAGCGCGUCGCAGAAGAUCCGGGACAUUAUUAGCACCCAGAUCCAUCGGAAGCAUGAACAGGGCAGUGAUGGGGCACCCGGAGAUGAAGAGGAGGAUAAUGAAAUAGUGAGUGAGAAGACAGCAGAAGCCUUCAAUCCUAUCGUCAACAACCACAUCAAGACCUCCAAGUAUGCCUCCAAGUACGACUACUUUCUCAACAAGCUCCGGAAAGGCGACGACGUCAACCCCUUCGAGAUCACCCUGUCUAACGCAGCCUCGACCUCCGGCUCUGAGACAACCUCAAACAGCGGUCCCUCACCGUCCACCAGCAGCCAUGGAGCACUGCUGGACUACACUGGCCAAGCGGGGGACCAGGGAAAUCUGGUCAUUACUGAGGAACCAGAGCAGCGCGAGCUAUCCUUUGCAGAAGGGACAGGCAAGAGGAACAUCUCCAAUGGCCUGGCCAAGAUGGUCAAAGAUGAGAUCACGCCGGGAGAGAUGAAUGUCUUCAGCAAGUACAUCUCAAGAUACUCUGGUUCAGCGCAUUGUGGCCAUCUGCAUUGUGUCUACCAAUACAAAGAACAUUACCAUUGCAACGAUGAAGGCUGCAAUUUUGCUAGAUUCACACGUAAGGAGGAUGUCGUCCGUCAUUAUAACUGGCACAAGAGACGCGAUAACUCCCUCCAGCAUGGCUUCAUGCGUUUCAGCCCCUCAGAUAACUGCAGUCCUUACUACCCAGAUUGCACCAUCAACCUCAAGCAUACCCACUACCAUUGCUUACAGAGUGGCUGCAACAAGGUCUACACUAGCACCUCCGAUGUCCUGACCCACGAGAACUUCCACAAGAAGAACAUGUCCCUCAUCAAUGAGGGCUUCCAGCGCUUCCGGGCCACGGAGGACUGCGGCGUGCCCACCUGCACCUUCUACGGCCAUAAGACCACACACUUCCACUGCCGCCGCCCAGGCUGCGACUUUGUCUUCAAGAAUAAGUGCGACAUCGAGAAGCACAAGACCUACCACAUCAAGGAUGACAUCUACCGCAAGGAUGGGUUCAAGAAAUUCAGCAAACACGAGAAAUGCAAGUAUAACUGGUGCAAAUACUCCAACAACACCAACCACUUCCACUGCAUCCGCAAGAACUGUGGCUUUGUCUUCACUGCGGCCAACCAGAUGCAGUCCCACAAGCGUAAGCACGACCGGCGCCAGCGCAUCCUGGAGUACGAGGCAGCCCGCCACCAGCGAGGGUUCUCGCUUCGGCUGAUCCGUCCCAAGCCAACCCCGAGCAUGUCCGCCCUGAAGCGCCUCCGAGACGUCCCUGAGACCGUGCUGAUACAGGCGGACGGAUCGGUGUUGCCCCAGCGAGUCAAGCCCCUGGACUACCUCUCGUCUCCCUCCAUGGUGGCGUCUACCUCCCAGUCAGCCCUCACCCCCAUCACUGUGGCCGGUAAUCCAACAACCACGACGACUGCAGAGACGGACAAGCUUCCAUCGGCUUUUGUCAGCAUCAGCUCAGGAGGAAUGGCUGAAGAGGAAGGACUGAGUGACUCCCUCAAUUUGCCGGUUGCCUCUCACAUUUCUCCUCCACAAAUAGAUCCUGGAAUGGGCAGGGAGUCAGUUACCUCUUCGUCCCCAGCCCCGCCAGCGGCAGCAGCAGCAGCAUGCAUCGCCCUGGCCACAGCGGCCAGUCAGAGCAAUGCAGCUCCCGGCCGUGCCGCUAGCAACACCUUCAGCAGCUCGGGUACCAAGGAGGGUAAACCGGAAGAACCCUGGCAGAAGUACCUCAAGAGGUUCACAGCCAAUGACCCCUGCCGACCUCGCUGUGAGCUGCUAUACAAAGAUCACUACCACUGCAAGGUGGAGGAUUGUGGGGCAGUCUACAAGUCCAAAGAGGGCGUUAACAAGCAUGCUAGAUACCACAUGCUAUCAGACGAAGCCAGUGAUUUGGGAUUCCAGUACUUCCAGCAAGGAGAGAGCUGCGAGGAGCUGUUUCCAGGAUGCUCAUUCAGUCCGCUGGCUCACUACCACUGCAUGUGGAGCUUAAAACCUGGCAUCUACUGUGGCGAGGUCGUCCACACUGGUAGCUCGCUCAUGAAACCUCACUAUGAGAAACACAAGAUGAACCCUGAGCUGGAAUCCAUUCACAUCUCAGCAGUCAGCUUCUCCGAGGCCCAAGCCCAGAGCACACUCAAGGCCCCGACCACCCUAGCUCCAGCUUCCAAAUCCACCGCGACUCACACCCAGAGCUGUGAUGCUAACGAGGUCCCCGGUUCGGUGCCGGUGACCGAUCUACUUCCGAGUACUUCCUCCCCGGGGGUGGCAUCAGGUGAAGGCUUCAUCACCUGCGAGCCCGACGUCUGCACGGUGGAAGACUGCCCACACCGAGCCAAGCACCACUACCACUGUACCCGGGGCGAUUGCCAGUUUGCCACUGAGAACCAGGACAUGCUGAGAGACCACAAGGUCAACGAGAGCGUCAUCUUCCAGAGCUUCCGGCAAAUGAGUCGUAAGAUGGACUGUCGCCGACCAGGCUGUAAAUACAACCUCCUCAACAAGCACUAUCACUGUCUUCAUCAGGGAUGCAAUUUCUCCUUCUUACAGAUUCAGCAGAUGGAGAGCCAUGGCCGGAAACACAUGAGACGCAUCUACGGCAAGCACUUCAACAAGCCCGGAGGCUCUCUGAUAGGUCCACAGCAGCUUGUCAUACCCAUGGUUUCGGCCAGCUCAGUACCCUUCUCGUCAGCUGUGUCCAACCAGAUUAUGUUCUCCAGUGCCGCGCCCAUCCUUACGCUACCCUCAUUGACACCGAGCGUGGUGCCCAGUAUGUCAUCAACUAAUGCAGCCAUCAUGAAUGCCGGCAGUCUUGGGUUGAUGAGUGUCGGAAACAUGGGGGUGGUCAAUCAGGUCGGAGUACCAAUCCAAAUGAUCAAUCCCACAGUUCCGACCAGUUCCUCCAAGCCAUUGCCGCCAUUCAUGAUCCCACUGUCACCACUUGACGACGAAGAUGUCAACGGUAACCAAGCACAGCCAAGCACCAGCCAGAAUUAUGACGACCUGGUUCAGCUCAAGUACCAAUCUCUGGCUCUGAAGAAUCCGGAGGCAGCGUAUGCCGGAAUGGUGCCGACAUCUCGUAAGCGGUCUCUAAAUUUGAUCGAGGAGGACCCAGGAGCCCCUUCGGGAUACAAGCGCUAUAAACGGGGACCUUUAGAUUCUAUGAUGAUGGACCGGUUCCGCCGCUUCGACCGCAGCGAGUCCUGUGGUGAGGACGCCUGUCAGUUCAACAUGACCACCACUCACUACCACUGCCUCCAUGAGGAUUGCACCUACCGCUUCGCCGGCAAGACCAUGAUGUACAAGCAUGCCCAGCACCACGACCGGGUCAACAGCAUCAUCCAGAACGACUUCCGGCGCUUCAAGGCCAACCACGAGUGUGAGCAGGACAGCUGUCCCUACCAAGGCAACAGCACCCACUUCCACUGCCUACGCUGCACCUUCGUCUGCACGGACUCGGGCAAGGUGGCGGUGCAUCGCAAGCAGCACGCCAAGACGGACACCAUCUCAGCGGCAGGCUUCAAGCAGUACAGCAGCGCCGAGCCCUGCGGCUUCAUGGGUUGCAAGUACACCCUGAGGUACUCCCACUUCCACUGCAAUAGAGACGGGUGCACGCAAGGUGUGAUCGGGAUGACUCAGAUGGAGACCCACAGACGGAGACACAUGCUCAAUGUACGCGUCUAGUGAGUCGGGAUGGCAGAUCAUGUGCAAUCCAAGGUGAAGUCAACUGGCACGAGUCGCAUUUCUCAUUGGUCACCCCUGUGCAUCAUAGAUACCUAGAUACUUUGGUUUGUUCCCUGUGAAUCAUAGGUGCAUCCCUAAGGCCCAUCUUAGGUACACUUCAGUUGCAUAGUAGGCACUCUUCAGAAGCAUUUGCGUUGUAUCUUAGGUGCAUAGUUUGGUUUUAUUGUAGGGGAAUGUAAGUCACAGAUGCAGUAUAAUGCAGUGUGCAUGACCGGUCGAUGUUCUAUCACAAAGUAGGUGCAUGCAGCCUAGUAGGUGCAUGCAGCCUAGUAGGUGCAGAAAGAUAAAUCACUCUUCUCACUUGGUGCCUUUAAGGUGCAUCAAGAUUCAGCAGGGUUGUGUUGAAAUGAAGCAGGACAGGCAAGAUGGUAGCCUGGGGUGGCAUUCGCUGCAUAGGUGGUCCCUCAAAAGCACAGGUGGAACAAGCUUGUUAGUGGCAAGUCUCGGGUGCAUCACAGGUGUGCCACAGGUGCAAGGUUGAACAUUUGACUGGUUCAUUUAGAAGUACCUCCCCAGCUCAUUGGAUAUGCCAUGUAACCUCCGCAGAAAAAUGAUGAAUUAUAGUAAUUUAAGGGGUCCCAGAAGCAUCAUAUUAACAACUCCCUACUGCCAUAAAGUUUUAUAAAAUAUGCACGAGAAGAUGACCUAUAGUACAAAAAUGUCUUCUCCAAUUAAUACAACCUUAAAUUAGAAAGUCGUAUAUGCAAGUAGUUUGUAAAGUUAUAAUGCCCUUAAAAGUGUUUCCACAUUGUGGCAGCUUAUUUUGAAGUAAUACAAACUCAAGAUUUGUUCCAGUUCUGACACAGGAAGAUUCCAGCAAUAUGUUUAAGUUUCAUGUCUAUCCGAUAGAAAGAGAAAUAAAGUCACAAUAUAUUUUGACAAACAAAGAGAUUUUUUUAUUUCGCAUCGUUGCACUGAGCAUAACUGUGCUUGUCUUCCUUCUGCACCAGAAUGUUUUAUUUUAUGGCUUUUAUUAUUUUAGAAACAUCCAAAGUGCCAACCGAAAGGCCUUCCUACAAAAAACCCAAAAAUAUGAGACAGUUUUUUAAUUACUUGCGGGAGUGUACAUAUCUCAAGGCAAGCAACACUUGGUAAACUAUAUUUGAUGAGCUCUCGAAAUGGAGACAUUACUUUAGCUGUGUUACUUUCCCUUUUUCUUUGUGAAAACUUAAUCAUGAGCAUGUAAAUUCCUGAAAAACAGGUCAUGUGACUGAUACCGGCAUCACACGACGAAUCUAUAUGAUGCAUCAUGUGAUAUUUGACAGAAUGAUUGGCCCUUAUGAUGUGUCAGAAAUUAUGGCUUCACUGGAAACGAAAAAGAUUGUCUAAAUGAUUGUUCAACUGUAGUAGACAAACAACGAAUCGAAAAAAAAAAUUAUAAUUGACUUGUUCUUGUCUCUGUAUCUUCAGUGAUGAUUAUGCUGUUGUACUUCUUGAAGUCUUUUAACAUAGAGCAAUAUGUACAAAUAAGUGUCAUGUGAAUUAAAUGUGAAUGGAUAAUGCUUAUCUUAGCAAUAACAUUGUACAGAGGAUUAUCAAGGCGAAACUGUAGACCGAUUGUAAAUAGUGUUAGCUGGAAAAGUUGAAGAAAAAUAACAGUAUUAAAGAGUGAUUUUAUUGUUUUAUCAAAAUCUAAUUAUUCUGAAACAAAAAUUAUAACCAACAUUGGAGAGAAGAAAAGUUUUAAGAGUUAUGCCUAUUAUUAGACUUGGAACAAUUUCCCCUCAAACCUGGUAUGCAAGAAUAGGUUGCAUUUAAUUUAAAGUUACCCAGUUUUCCUGCAUAUUGUGACAAUGUUUUGAAACUGCAUUGCUGAAGCAUCUUCCCAGCUGUCUCUGAAUACUACCAGACUUUCCAGCCACAACAGUUUGCUUGCAUCAGACAUUUGGUUUUCUGUGGGUCCAGAGGUUAUCAAGGAAGUGGUUAGCUUCCAAAAUUUUUCUAGCAAUUGGUCUGUGGGCAGAUAGCUUUGCUGCAAGAGCUGGUCUACUUUCAAAUUUAAAUCCAAAAGUACAUCAUGCUGUGUAUUUGGUUUCAGCUGACAGCAUUUAAUCGCAGACACAUACAUGCAUGUAAUCUUUAAGCGAUAACUCAACUUACUGUUUGUAUUGAGUAUUUAUGGCAUUUGCCAGAAAGAGCAAAUCAAAACAUUAAAUACUAUUUCUUCAAAGCAAUAACCCUUGUAUAAAUUGUAAAUCUUCUCCAAAUAUCUGAAUCUAAUUUUCUCUUUAUCAGUGUCAUCUGUAAUUAAUAACUCAAAAUUCUAUCUAUCAAAAAAUCUGUAAAGUAACUCUCUCUUCCACCUUAUUCAUUAAUCAAUGCAUAUUUUGUGAACUGUUGGCAAUCAUUGUCAUUGAAACCUUAGUAGUAAUAUUUUCUUCCAACUAUCAAUACUUGUACACUUUCUUGUUCCUUUUAAAUAACUCAUAACAUACUGAGACAUUGUGUAUGCGUAGUUUAGACACAGCAUUGUAGUACACAUAGUUUAGUCUUCCUUUGUGUUGUGCCGUUCUGGCUUCCAGAAAACUAAUCAAAUUUCAAGGAAUAUAUUCACCAAAAGUCUAAGAAUAUUCCCCUCCAAGUAGACAUUCACACUGAUCAAUGAUGUAGUGAUCUUUCUACUCUUUGGAUGGAAAGAUAAACCACAAGUACUUAAAUCCCCGAAAGAAACAUUUUCAUCAAUCAAAAUUUGAGAAUUGAAAACUAAAGUUAGACUAUUGUUGACCAAAACAGAGCCUAUCAUUUUGUACCGUAGUUAAUGUAUCUCUAUGCAAUGUUUGGUGAAUUUGUUCUCCAUUCGAUUUCUGGCAGUGUGACUGUUGUAAACCAACUUUCCCAGGGUGUUUUUGUACGUGUAUGUGUCAUUACUUGACAUUGUUUACACCAUUAUGUAACACACUACUAAUGAAUAUUUUUGAAAAUUUGCAAAAAAAAGAGGAAAAUAGUUCAAAAUAAAAAAAAAUCUUGGGCCCAAAUACCACUUUCAUUUUUCAUAUACUGAUUAGAAAUACCAGUUGAAUCAAGUGGAAUGCCAGCACCAGCUGUUUAAGGUAGAAUAUUUUUGGAUUUGCUAUCACAACUUCCUUUGAUUUCCUUUGAUCCUGUAGUGUGUCAUUUCUAUUGAAAUGUGGAUGCUAAUCUGACUCAUUGGUGAUAUUUAUGAUCCAGGUUAGAGACCACCACGGAAAAGAUGAUGAUCUCAUGAAUGCUUCCUGAACCUUGUGCAAAAAUGCAGGCACUUUCAAAAACAAUUUGGAUUUAUACUCAAGGGUUUGGGCAUUCUGCUUUGAUUAUUAUCAAAUGUGUAAACUUUCUUUUUAAGAAAAAGUUUUAUCCAACCAGGGUAUGUUAAACAAACGCAACCGGAUUUGAUAGUAGGGGAAGAACUCAGUUCCUUUGCAGCAUUUUUGGACUGUUUAGGUUAGAUCCCAAAAGGCAGUUUGAUAUGGUUUGGAACCAUGUGGGUUUUUUGUUGGUGAGAAAGUGUGUUUAGCCAGUGAAAGAACCAUUGUAAUGGAAUGUGUUACUGCCUCGAUCAUUUUCACUUUGUGAGUUUUUGGUCAAAAAAUGGCCUCGGACUGAAGUGCACAUAACUACAGAUUGCUGAACGUCAACCUUUGCUGUGAGGGUUCAGACACAAAAACUAGCACCCUGUUGUGGUCUGUGAUAGGUCAGUAUUUCUACACUCUAGUUUAAUGUUGUGGAGGUUUUGUCUAGACUACAUCCAAUCGCCCUCCCUGACUAUUAGAUUGCCCUUCCCCUAGUACCCUUCAUUUUGGCAUAUCUUCCAGAAAUACUUUGCAUUGGUGACGAUAUUGUAUACCCGUGUGGAAGUUGCCCAGUACGUGAUGUGGAAUGCGAAGUUAAUUGCUGUGAAAUGAAGUUAACACUGUGCUUUCAUUGGAAUAUUUCUGUAGAGCGUAACAUAAUGAAUAGAUGAAGUUUCUUACAUAUUUGUAAAGUUUUGAAUUUUAGAAUUGUUUACAUGAAAAUACACCAUAUAGCAUAAAGUUUCAAAUACAUAGUGUUGACAAUUUUCAUUGUAUAACUUCCCGUAGACAUACUGGAUAUUGCUUUUGCUAUGAUGUGUAAUUUAUUGUAGGUAUGGUCAACAAAUUUGUGAAUUAUUUUAUAAAGGAAACAAAAGUUGUAAAGUUAUGAUAGCAGCUUCCGACAGAUUCUAGUUGUACCGUACUCUGUGAAUUUGUAAAAUAUGUAAUUUUUUCCCCAGUUUCUCCACAAAUUGCAUGAGUGAUAAGAAUUAACAGUGUACAAGAGAGAUUUCUCUGAAAAUUAUCAUAAUCAUCACCAGUUGGACUGUUAAGUAUGUAUUCGGUGUUUUUGUUUACUAUAAUCCAUUAUAACUGUGGCGUGUGUGAUUUUAAUAUAGAGGAUUUUGUUGUGAACUUCCUCAUAUAUACCUGUAGUUAAUAUGUAAAUGCACAUUGUUGCCCAUAGUGAUUGGCCAGAGCUUUGAUGACAUCACGAACUAAGGUUGUGACAAUUGGUGGAAUGUAUGAUGAUGUCAUUAGUGUCAGAAACCAAAUCCUGCUAUUGGCUAGCAAGGCAUGGGGUUAACAAAACAGGGUUGUGAUUGGUUGAAGUGUAAAGGAUGUCACAGUCACUUUCUCAGAAUUUUCAAUCAGAUUUUUACCUUAUUUACAGGAAAACAAAGAAAAGAAAAAUACACUGAUGUUAAUCUGCUGUUGCGCUUAAUAAGUUGAGCACAAAGUCAGCAUUUAGUUUUUUCUGCACCAGUUGCAGCUUUUUUUUUGAGACCUCCAAUUUUGCUGCCUGUUAGGAAAAGGCCUGGCAGGUGUGACGUCUGUUUAUUGCAGUGCUAGCAAGUAUUUAUCCUUAAUAAUCACAGAGGAAUUUGUUAAAAAAAAGUGUGCAAAAAUGAUUUACAAGGUGUGCAUUCCAGUAGUACGUUAUCUGUAGCCGAGUUGUAGUUUACGUCUGUGUAUGCAGUGUUGAAUGUGUUUUUAAUGUGAUUUUUCUGCUUGAAAUUUAUUUGAAAAGUGAGUGGCAAUCAUGAAAGGGACAUUUUAAAAUAAAUGUUUCCCUUUUCUUUUCUGUUUUAGUAGUGCUUGAAAAAAUAUGAGUCAAUUGUAUGAGUUUUUUUUUGUUGGAAGUGCAAAUUACUUUAUCCAAUUCUUUUCUACGUGUCAUAGGAGUAGUGAUGUCAGUACUUUCGAUAUUCCUCAUGUAUGAGACCAGUUUGAUGAGACUUGAUUUUGAUUGAAUGUAUGUACAUGUAUAUGAUUUAGUUAGGCAGAAGUAGCAGAUACUUCAUGUGCUGUGCAUACAGCACCAUGCCAGCCUUGUUCUGUCAAAGCAUAGGGCUUACUUUCUGUUGAAGCCAUUAGCAUUAAGAGACCCAAGCUAAAGUGUUGCCUGGCUGGCGGAGCACUGAUUUCACAUUUCUGAAGUGAAUUAACGCUGGAUUGUUCUGGUUUAUAUCUGUGAAUGAAAAAUUCAAAUUGAAAAAAUUAGACUCUGACAAGAUUAUGUUUUUCUCUGAAGGGACAAUUUUAUUUAAUAGCUGCACAAGACUGUAAAAUACAUAUAAAAUUAUUGGUAUGCACAUGGAACACUUCUAGCAACAGGUGUAUUUGUUUUUAAUAAACUAAAAGUACAGAAUACUAACAUUGCUAUUUCCUUUUCAGAGUGAACCAUAAUUGAUAUUUCUCUUUAAAUCUCUCCUAUAUUUAAUUGAAUGUCUUCCCAGUCGAUUUUUUUUAAGUUGAAUAAACCAUAGAAACCAAGAAA